RNAcentral lists this ribosomal RNA (433 nucleotides) under uncultured bacterium. Its description in RNAcentral is "partial 16S ribosomal RNA". It matches the Rfam family "Bacterial small subunit ribosomal RNA", at positions 29 to 507 of the family's 1533-position model. The record is from RNAcentral.
AACGAACGCUGGCGGCAUGCCUAACACAUGCAAGUCGAACGAGACCUUCGGGUCUAGUGGCGCACGGGUGCGUAACGCGUGGGAACCUGCCCUUAGGUUCGGAAUAACUCCCCGAAAGGGGUGCUAAUACCGGAUAAUGUCUUCGGACCAAAGAUUUAUCGCCUUUGGAUGGGCCCGCGUUGGAUUAGCUAGUUGGUAGGGUAAAAGCCUACCAAGGCGACGAUCCAUAGCUGGUCUGAGAGGAUGAUCAGCCACACUGGGACUGAGACACGGCCCAGACUCCUACGGGAGGCAGCAGAGGGGAAUAUUGGACAAUGGGCGAAAGGCUGAUCCAGCAAUGCCGCGUAAGUGAUGAAGGCCUUAGGGUUGUAAAGCUCUUUUACCCGGGAUGAUAAUGACAGUACCGGGAGAAUAAGCUCCGGCUAACUCCGUG